RNAcentral lists this ribosomal RNA (502 nucleotides) under uncultured bacterium. RNAcentral describes it as "partial 16S ribosomal RNA". It matches the Rfam family "Bacterial small subunit ribosomal RNA", at positions 28 to 507 of the family's 1533-position model. The record is from RNAcentral.
GACGAACGCUGGCGGCGUGCUUAACACAUGUAAGUCGAACGGUGAAGGGGUCUGCUUUUGUGGGCCCUGGAUGAGUGGCGAACGGGUGAGUAACACGUGAGUAACCUGCCCCCUUCUUCUGGAUAACCGCAUGAAAGUGUGGCUAAUACGGGAUAUUCUGGGUCUGUCGCAUGAUGGGUCUGGGAAAGAUUGCGCCUUUGGGUGUUUUUGGUGGGGGAUGGGCUCGCGGCCUAUCAGCUUGUUGGUGGGGUGAUGGCCUACCAAGGCGGUGACGGGUAGCCGGCCUGAGAGGGUGGACGGUCACACUGGGACUGAGACACGGCCCAGACUCCUACGGGAGGCAGCAGUGGGGAAUAUUGCACAAUGGGCGCAAGCCUGAUGCAGCGACGCCGCGUGAGGGAUGGAGGCCUUCGGGUUGUAAACCUCUUUCGCCAGUGAAGCAGGCCUGCUCCUUGUGGGUGGGUUGACGGUAGCUGGAUAAGAAGCGCCGGCUAACUACGUG